This 83-nucleotide transfer RNA is filed under the name Micropygomyia cayennensis. Its description in RNAcentral is "tRNA-Cys". The record is from RNAcentral. Lineage: Eukaryota; Metazoa; Arthropoda; Insecta; Diptera; Psychodidae.
AUAAUUUUUAAAUUUUAUGGUCUUAUAUUCAUAGUUUAUGAUAUUAAAUUGCAAAUUUAAAGGAGUAUUUUAUACUAAGACUU